Oreochromis aureus is the source of this 441-nucleotide long non-coding RNA. NCBI's taxonomy places the organism in Eukaryota, Metazoa, Chordata, Actinopteri, Cichliformes, Cichlidae. The record is from Ensembl.
GGGAAAGCGAAGGCAGGAGCGUGAGGUGAACUGAAUUUCAGUCGCUGACGCGGAGCUACAACCGAGGGCAGCUAUCCACCGGUGUGUGUCAGAAAGAACAUGCGGGGAACGAGGCGGCGAGGCGACCGCCGAUCGACCGGUGGUAGAUCGUGGAUCAGGGAAACCGAAGGCAGGAGAAGCAGGCGGCUGCCGGUCGGAGCGUGAGGUGAACUGAAUUUCAGCAUGUCUUUAUCCUGUUUUCCUUCUUUCACCCCAACCGGUCGCAGCAGAUGGCCCCGCCCCUCCCUGAGCCUGGUUCUGCCAGAGGUUUCUUCCUGUUAAAAGGGAGUUUUUCCUUCCCACUGUCGCCACAGCGCUUGCUCAUAGGGGGUCAUAUGAUUGUUGGGUUUUUCUCUGUAUUUAUUAUUGUGCGAUCUAUUGUACAAUAUAAAGCGCCUUGAG